This 253-nucleotide ribosomal RNA is filed under the name uncultured bacterium. Its description in RNAcentral is "partial 16S ribosomal RNA". It matches the Rfam family "Bacterial small subunit ribosomal RNA", at positions 524 to 776 of the family's 1533-position model. The record is from RNAcentral.
UACGUAGGGUGCGAGCGUUAAUCGGAAUUACUGGGCGUAAAGCGUGCGCAGGCGGUUCGCUGUGUCCGAUGUGAAAGCCCCGGGCUUAACCUGGGAAUGGCAUUGGAAACUGGCGGGCUUGAGUGCGGCAGAGGGGGGUGGAAUUCCGCGUGUAGCAGUGAAAUGCGUAGAGAUGCGGAGGAACACCGAUGGCGAAGGCAAUCCCCUGGGCCUGUACUGACGCUCAUGCACGAAAGCGUGGGGAGCAAACAGG